GACGAACGCUGGCGGCGUGCUUAACACAUGCAAGUCGAACGAAGUGGCGAACGGGUGAGUAAAGCGUACUCAACCUGCCCUUCAGAGGGGGAAAACAGUUGGAAACGACUGAUAAUACCGCAUACUGAAGGCGGGGAUUGCGUCUGAUUCGCUAGUUGGAGGGGUAACGGCCCACCAAGGCGAGGAUCAGUCGCCGGUCUGAGAGGAUGAACGGCCACAUUUGGACUGGGACACGGCCCAGACUCCUACGGGAGGCAGCAGUGGGGAAUCUGCCGAAAUGGACGAAAGUCUGACGGAGCAACGCCGCGUGAGUGAUGACGGCCUUCGGGUUGUAAAGCUCUGUUAAUCGGGACGCGGUACCGGAAUAGAAAGCCACGGCUAACUACGUGCCAGCCGCCGCGGUAAUUC
This 408-nucleotide ribosomal RNA is filed under the name uncultured bacterium. RNAcentral's name for it is "partial 16S ribosomal RNA". It matches the Rfam family "Bacterial small subunit ribosomal RNA", at positions 28 to 526 of the family's 1533-position model. The record is from RNAcentral.